GUGGGGAAUAUUGCGCAAUGGGGGAAACCCUGACGCAGCAACGCCGCGUGAUUGAAGAAGGCCUUCGGGUUGUAAAGAUCUUUAAUUGGGGACGAAAUAAAUGACGGUACCCAAAGAAUAAGCUCCGGCUAACUACGUGCCAGCAGCCGCGGUAAUACGUAGGGAGCAAGCGUUAUCCGGAUUUACUGGGUGUAAAGGGCGAGUAGGCGGGCCGCCAAGGUGGGAGUGAAAUCCGGGGGCUUAACCCCCGAACUGCUUUCAAAACUGUUGGUCUUGAGUGAUGGAGAGGCAGGCGGAAUUCCCAGUGUAGCGGUGAAAUGCGUAGAUAUUGGGAGGAACACCAGUGGCGAAGGCGGCCUGCUGGACAUUAACUGACGCUGAGGCGCGAAAGCGUGGGGAGCAAACAGGAUUAGAAACCCGAGUAGUCC
RNAcentral lists this ribosomal RNA (428 nucleotides) under uncultured bacterium. RNAcentral describes it as "partial 16S ribosomal RNA". It matches the Rfam family "Bacterial small subunit ribosomal RNA", at positions 354 to 796 of the family's 1533-position model. The record is from RNAcentral.